RNAcentral lists this small RNA (621 nucleotides) under Pongo abelii (Sumatran orangutan). RNAcentral describes it as "retained intron". The record is from RNAcentral. Lineage: Eukaryota; Metazoa; Chordata; Mammalia; Primates; Hominidae.
AUAGCCGUUGCGAGGGGGAACUCCGCCUCGGAGAGAGAGUGCUAGUGGUAGGACAGAGACUGGGCAUCAUUAGGUUCUUUGGGACAACAAACUUCGCUCCAGGAUAUUGGUAUGGUAUAGAGCUUGAAAAACCCCAUGGGAAGAAUGAUGGUUCAGUUGGAGGUGUGCAGUAUUUUAGUUGUUCUCCAAGAUAUGGAAUAUUUGCUCCCCCAUCCAGGGUGCAAAGAGUAACAGAUUCCCUGGAUACCCUUUCAGAAAUUUCUUCAAAUAAACAGAACCAUUCUUAUCCUGGUAAGACUACACAGUUUUGUGUUCCUAAUCACUAUUUCUUUGCUUUCAUGUAUUGAAAAAUUUUUAUUCUGAGGUAUCGUAUACAAAAGGGUCUAUAAACUGCAUUUGUAUAGUUUGUGUAAUAAUAGAGCAAACAUCUGUUACCUGUCCCCUGGCUGAAGAAGAUGAUGACCUGACCUGUAGAAACCCCUGAGUACCCCAUCCCAUCUCAUCUGCCUUGCUCUUCAUAUACCCCAUCCUCAGGUGAAGGAGUCUUGAAUGGUACAUUAAUUAUUCCCUUGAUUCUCUUUAUCACCCAUAUAUAGAUAUAUCAAUAAAUAAUAUGUGUUC